This is a long non-coding RNA of Sapajus apella (tufted capuchin), 3489 nucleotides long. RefSeq lists it as uncharacterized. The transcript is spliced from 2 exons. Lineage: Eukaryota; Metazoa; Chordata; Mammalia; Primates; Cebidae. The record is from RefSeq and is a predicted model, not a curated record.
CAACAGAGCAAGACUUUGUCUCCAAAAAAAAAAAAGUAAAGAAAGGAAACCUAGGUUUUAGUCCCAGAUUUUCCACUGACAUGCUCUGUGACAUAGGCCAAGUUGCCUCCUAUGUCAGGGUUGGAGUAUAGAAGCCUCCUGUAAGGCAUCCUAUGACUCUAAAUCUAGACUCUGUGGAAGGCCAUGAAUCCCUAUGGUAGAGCACAACCACUGUUUGCCCUUCUCCCACAUUUCACCUCCAACCAUGGGGGAGCCGGUGGACAGAUUUCAUGUACUUACACAAGCACUGAUAGCCUCUCUGUCUUUCCUUCUUUACACCCUUGUUACUCUUGCACAUGUGCGUGGAUGACAUGUAUGAGAGUAUUCAUUACAGCAUUGUAACAACAGAUUAUUGAAAACACAUGUGUCAGUCAUAGAAGACUGGAUUAAUUAUGGCAUGUUUAUGCAGCAGUUAACUGUCAAUACAUUAAAGCUACAUGUAUUUACAUGAGUAAGUCUCCCAGACACAGUAAGUUAUAGAAGAAUAUUUAUAGUUAGAUAUAAUUUGAAUAAAAUUAAAAUGUCAUUUUAAUUAAGUAAUUUAAGAGCCUGUAUAUAGGUAUAAACGAAGAAAAACAUACAUAAGAUUAAGAAAAUUUAGGAUAAUGGUUCUCUCUGGAGAGGGAAGAAAGGAAAUAGGAUCAGAGAGAAGUAAACAUAUCUAUAAUGUUUCAUUUCUUAAGCUGAGUGUGUGGGCAGACAUGUUUAUUAUAUUCUCUCUAAUUUUGCUUAUUUGAAAUACUUCAAAAUAAUCAUUAGAGAAAAACUUUGUGAAAUAUUUAUAAAGCAAGCUUAAAUAUAAUAGAGCAGUAGGGGUAGCACUUCUGGUUAAGACCAAGUGAAGAGAUCAGCGAAUCCUUUUCCAAAAAAGCAACUAUAAAACUGGACAAAAUUGACAAAACAGCCAUUUCAGUGUUCUGGAUGUCUGUGAAGGGACAGUAAUCUGAGACACAUUUAUGCUUUGAAAAACUGCCAGAGUUCAGGUAAGAACAAUGGAAAUUUGUGGUUUAGCAGGGUGCUGCUUCCCAAACUCCCCAAGCUAUGCUGCGUGGAGUUCCUGCCAGUGUGGAACAGGCUGCAAGGACUGGCAGUUUGCUCUGUGUGAUGGAAAGAGCUGUUUCUGUUUGCAGUGGUGACUGACACAGUAUCCAGUGUCAUUGUCUUCACAGAGGCAGGCUAGGAGAGGAAAGCCAGUGACUGGGCAGUUCCUAGGAAACCAGUCUUACUAAAAAGAAGUGGGGAAAAGAACAUAGAACAGUAACAAAUUAAGUGGAGACAUUCUGGUUGCAUGCCACAGUGAAAAUAGAUUUCAUGUGUUUAACCCAGUCUGUUACUAAAUAAAAGUGAACAAGCAGAAAAGGCAACACCACCAACUUUAAGGGGGAAAAUAUCCGAAUCCAGAGUUGCUACAAUAUGUUGUCUAAAAUGUUCACUUUUCAACAGAUUGUAAGACAUGCAAAAUAUAGAGAUGUGUGACUCAUUCAGGAAAACAAAAGUCUAUAGAAACUUUCCGUGAAUGUCUCUAGAUAAUGGAUUUAGCAGAGAAAAACUUCAAAGCAAUGAAUAUAAAUAUGUUCAAAGACUAAAGGAAACUAUUUAAAAAAUUAAAGUAUGACAAUAAUGAGUGGUAGCAGUGAGUCAACAAAUAGAGAUUCUCAGUAAAGAACAUAAAAAUUAUUUAAAAGAGACACAUAGACAUUCUGAAAUUGGAGAGUAUAAUUUUGGAAAUGAAAAAUUCACUAGAGGACUUCAACGGCAGAUAAAAAAUAGUAUAGGGAAGAAUCAAUUGAAGGAAAAUGAACAGAGCCUCAGAUCAUUGUGGGACAGCAUCAGAUACACCAACAUAAUAUCAGAUUCAAAGAUAUACAAAGCAAAAACUGACAGAAUGGGAAGGAGAAACAGACAUUUCAACCAUUAGAGUUGGAGAUUUUUAGCACUCUACUCUUAGUAAUUGAUAGAAUAGCCAGAUAGAAAAUUAGCAAGCAUAUAGAAAACUUGACCAACACCAUUAACCAACUUGACCUAGCCAAUGUAUGUAGCACAUUCUACAUACUGACUGGAGCACACGUUCAUUUCAAGCACACAUGGAACAUUCUCCAGGAUAGACCAUAUGGUUGGCUAUAAAACAAGUCUGAAUAUAUUUUAAAAGAUUGAAAUUGUACAAAGUAUAUUCUUCAACCACAACUAAAGAAGAAAAUCUGGGAAAUUCCCAAGUAUUUGAAAUUAAGCAACACAUGUCUAAAAUAACACAUGGGUCCAAUAAAAAAUCAAAAGGAAAAUGUGAAAACAUUUUGAACCAAAUGAAAAUGAAAACACAUCAGAAUUUUUGGGAUGCUAGGAAAGCAGUACUGAGAUGAAAAUUAAUAGCUUUAAAUAUCUAGGUUAAUAAACAAAGUUCUAGAAUCAAUAAACUAAGUUUUGCCUUCAAAAACUAUAAAAAGAGGAACAAACAAACUCCAAACCAGUAGAACAAAGGAGUUAUAAUGAUUAGAGGAGAAAUAAAUGAGACAGAAAAGUUAUAAAGUCAAUGAAACCCAAAAGUUGGUUCCUUGGAACUAUCAAUAAAAUUGAUGAACCUUUAGAUAGAAUGACCGACAAUAAAAAAAGAAGACAGUUUACCAAAAUCACAACUAAAAAAGGACAUCACUACUAACUCUACAGAAACUUAAAGGAUUAUAAAGGAAUAUUGUGAACAACUUUAUGGUAACUAUGCCUGGGGCCCCCAUGACCAUCCACAGGUUCAGUGAUUCACCAGGAGGACUCAACACAUAGUCAUACUCACAGUGAGUCACUCUUAUGGUAAUGUAAUCCUCCCCAAAUCCGUUUUCCCAGAUGUCACCCAAGGGCCAACAUUGUAAGCAGGCCCUUUGAAGGAUAGUAGUUCAAACCUGCUAUGUUUACUUUUUUCUGUACACUGACAAAUUAGACACCUUAGAUGAAAUGAACAAAAAUAUAUCCUAAAACAUACAGGUUGUCAAAACUGACUCAAUAAAAAGCAAAUCUGAGUAGACCUAUAAUAAGUAAGAAAUUGAAUUGGGGAUUAAAUAUCUUCCUAUGAAAUUUACUGGUGCAGUCUAUCAAAUAUUUAAAGAAAAAAUAAUUCUGAUCCUUCACAAACUUUCAGAAAAUCAAGAACAUUUCUGAACUUAUUCAGUGGAGCCAGUUUUUACCUUCAUAUCAAAGCCAAACAAAGAUAUCCAUGAAAACUAUAUACCAACAGCCCUUAUGAAUGUAGGCAUAAAAAUUUUUUUUAAAUGUAUAGCAAAUAAAAUCUAGUAACAUAUAAAAUGGAUUAGAUUCAUUACUCCAGGAAUGGGAUAUAUGGGGUUUUUUUACAUCUGAAAAUCAGUAAAAUGAAUGAAAAAGGCAACUAACCAUUUUCAGUAGGUGAAGAAAAAGCAUUUGACAAAAUCUCAGUAUCUGUCAUGAUUUAAAAAAAAAAAAAAAAAA